This 23-nucleotide microRNA is filed under the name Lottia gigantea (owl limpet). RNAcentral describes it as "Lgi-Mir-375_5p* (star (passenger))". Lineage: Eukaryota; Metazoa; Mollusca; Gastropoda; Lottiidae. The record is from RNAcentral.
ACCCGAGCCGUUUGUAACAAGGC